RNAcentral lists this ribosomal RNA (186 nucleotides) under Bacillus sp. CH30_1T. RNAcentral describes it as "partial 23S ribosomal RNA". It matches the Rfam family "Bacterial large subunit ribosomal RNA", at positions 1 to 183 of the family's 2925-position model. The record is from RNAcentral. Lineage: Bacteria; Bacillati; Bacillota; Bacilli; Caryophanales; Bacillaceae.
UUCGGUUAAGUUAUGAAGGGCGCACGGUGGAUGCCUUGGCACUAGGAGCCGACGAAGGACGGGACUAACACCGAUAUGCUUUGGGGAGCUGUAAGUGAGCUUUGAUCCAGAGAUUUCCGAAUGGGGGAACCCAUUGUUCGUAAUGGAACAAUAUCCUUACUUGAAUACAUAGAGUAUGGAAGGCAG